This is a long non-coding RNA of Chelonia mydas (Green sea turtle), 2778 nucleotides long. RefSeq lists it as uncharacterized. Lineage: Eukaryota; Metazoa; Chordata; Testudines; Cheloniidae. The record is from RefSeq and is a predicted model, not a curated record. The transcript has 6 exons.
AUCUCCGACACCGGAAGCAGCGGCCUUCUCCUCACGGCGCCGGCGGGCGCGGGGACCACCGCCAUAUUGGAUCACGGAGCCGCAGCGGACAGAAUCAGUUUCAAAAGGACCUUGAUAUAUCUGCUUCCCUAGAAAGCUGCUUCUAAGCAAGUCAACUUCAGCAACAGCCGCACACACCAGCAAAAGCAACAACUUUCAUUUUGCAACGUGUAUGACCUUUGGGCAGUCACUUCAACUCAUUGUGCCAGCUUCCUUAUAAUAGAGGUGGCCCUGAAGACUCCCUUAAAGCUGGCAUGGGAAACAGCAAGCAUGAGUCAGAUAAGAUUGUACUUAUUUAAAAAUAUUAAUGUUGCAAGUUUAAGUAUUUUAACUUGAGCUAAGUUUACUACCAGGACUUCUGAGGAAGAAGAUUGGGAUAAUGACUCCAAUCUUUCUGAAAUGGUUAGAGAAGGGGAUUCUGCUUAUGCAAGCAAAAACACACCCAUUGAAACAGUCCUGAAUUAGAAUAUGGGGAAGAUGACCCUUUAAACUAUUCUCCUGACCUGAAGAGCUUUGUGUAAACUUGAAAACCUGUCUCUUUCACCAACAGAAGUUGAUCCAAUAAGAAAGCUGAGCACUAUUGCUCAGCUUGUUAGUGCCUUCAAGGAUUGAUUCUACAAACAUCCUCACACAUUUGAUGAUGAGAGUUUGAAACCUGGAAAUGCCUAUCAAAGCAAGAUUUAUAUAUUGCAUAACAAGCAGGGUGUUCCAGUCUUUUUAAAAGUGCAAGUAUGUAGCAAGAGGAAAGUCUAUACAAUCCGGAGGACAAUGCUGCAGUGCAGCUCAAUUACUGACUAUUCACCAUCCCAUUGAGCUGCUAAACUUUCAGUGUCGCAGGGAGGAAAAUGGGGAGCAAUUGUUUUUUGAAAAUUCCUCAUGUUACAAGCAGAGUAGACUCUCACCUGAAAAGGAAAUAUGUUGUCGGCUCUGUUCAAACUAUCUUCCAUCCAAGAUUUUGGAGCAAAGGCCGAGCUAGGCCUAGCAUACUUCUGCAACUGGAUAUGAUUACUUGCAAAAUUCUUCUUCAGGGGUGAGAUGGAGUUCAGGGGUGUUAUCCCUCCAUUCAGUCCCCUGCGGUGGUCUCGCCCUUGGGACCCUCCCCACCCACCAUAUCCACCGCCACCGGGGCUCCAUGAAGAAGAUGGUGUAGGUGAUGGGCUUUGGUAGCUGCUCCAUGGAGAAGGUGGUUUGUUAAGAUUAUUAGCCAAAUGAGGCAGUUGAUUAAAAGCAGCAUUUCUAUGUGUAAAUGGAGGUGGAUGAGGGCUUGCAGGCGAUCUUCUCUGUUGCUGAUGCUGAUUGUGAUGAUGCUGAAAAUGGGGGUGAUGAGGGUGGUGUUGAGAGAGGGGUCCAAUCUGAGGGGAAAAGCUACCUCCAAAGCCAGGGCUGACAUGAUGUGGAAAAUUCUGAAAUAGCAGAGCACCAUUAUUAGCUGAGGCAGCAGGGACCCCUCCCUGGUGAAAAAAACUGGCAUCUUCAUUGAUUAUUGUAGAAGAAGAAGGAGCUACAGCUGCUGACCAGUUACUAAAACCAGUCAGAGAAGAUGCAGUGGAUGUUAAGGGCUGAGUUGAAGUACCUAGCCCUGAAGCCUCUUGAUAAUCAAAUCCUGUUAACACUGGUGAUUCUAUUCUUAUUUUCUCUUUCCCGUUGCCAUUCUCUGAAGAAUUGUCUCCCUGAUUUUCCUCAGAUUUAGCUUUCUCAGGUUCAGGCAGCAUGCCUGCUUCCUGACUUUGACUAGGGGAAAGCUGCUGUUUUUCUAGAGACUCUUGCUUUUCCUGUUGCUGAGUUUUAGAUUUUUCUGACCCCAGAAUCUCAUCCUGAAUGUUAUGGGCAGCUGGAGCAGGAAAGAGCCAAGCUGACCCAGCACUACUGCCAUUGGCAGCUGUGUUAUUACUUAUAAAAGCAGCAGGGCUGGGGGCUGCAUUUUGAUGAUGGUGUGGAGGCUGCAGAUGUGGGUGAAAUCUCACUGGAAAAGCUGACUUAUUCCCAGUGUUGUUUUGCACUAACACUCCAAACCCGUAAUCCCCCAUUUAUUAUAUUUAGGAUUUGAUUUUCUCCUGUAAAAAAACAACAACGAUGUUUAGUGUUUCUCUCCUCCUCCACCAAAGAGGAACUAGGAAAUAUCUUGUUUUAAUCUAGAUAUUCCAGUUUCUUCCUCCACACACUCCUUAGAUAUUUCUGAUUUGGAUAUAAGUUCUGGUUCUUUCAAAGAUAAAUCUCUUUAAAUUUUUAAGAUGUGUCAAUUUAUGUUUGUUUCCUUUCUCUGGUUAGAAAGAAAAGAAAAAUAAAUCUUUGGUUAGCAAAAUAAGAGGUUUCCUUUUCCUAAAGGAAAUGCACAUCAAUAAGAGAAAAAUCUUCUGGGGACAGAUAUAAAGAGAUUUUAACUAUCCUGUUUUUUUCCUCCUCAGCAGCCUUGACUCGGCCAUAAAUGAGUUAAGAGGAAAAGAGAAACAAUGACGUCUGGUCCCUCCACCUCUUGGCUGCAAAAAAAGAAAAAAAGAAAAGAAAGAAAUUUAAGUCUGGAAUAAUUUAAUAAAUUCUAUAUAAUCUAAUAUAUAUUUGUUUCCUGUUCAAAAGAGUCCUUGCUGUGGAUAUGGGAAGAUUUUACCUCAGGAUUUUAGCAUUCAGUGGGGGAGUGAAUUGUGCAGGAGGCUUUUUUUCCCUGCUGCUGCUCGGUAAGCCUUUAUUGUGUAUUCUAAUAAUAAAUAAUAAUAAUAAAUACUAUUUUGUAUGUGUCCUUUA